GGGCCCGUAGCUCAGUUGGUUAGAGCGCCGUGCUGAUAACGCGGAGGUCAGUGGUUCGAUUCUACUCGGGCCCACCA
This 77-nucleotide transfer RNA is filed under the name Candidatus Omnitrophota bacterium. RNAcentral's name for it is "tRNA-Ile". It matches the Rfam family "tRNA". From Rfam's summary of the family: Transfer RNA (tRNA) molecules are approximately 80 nucleotides in length. Their secondary structure includes four short double-helical elements and three loops (D, anti-codon, and T loops). Further hydrogen bonds mediate the characteristic L-shaped molecular structure. tRNAs have two regions of fundamental functional importance: the anti-codon, which is responsible for specific mRNA codon recognition, and the 3' end, to which the tRNAs corresponding amino acid is attached (by aminoacyl-tRNA synthetases). tRNAs cope with the degeneracy of the genetic code in two manners: having more than one tRNA (with a specific anti-codon) for a particular amino acid; and 'wobble' base-pairing, i.e. permitting non-standard base-pairing at the 3rd anti-codon position. Lineage: Bacteria; Pseudomonadati; Candidatus Omnitrophota. The record is from RNAcentral.